RNAcentral lists this ribosomal RNA (497 nucleotides) under uncultured bacterium. RNAcentral describes it as "partial 16S ribosomal RNA". It matches the Rfam family "Bacterial small subunit ribosomal RNA", at positions 28 to 507 of the family's 1533-position model. The record is from RNAcentral.
GACGAACGCUGGCGGCGUGCCUAAUACAUGCAAGUUGAGCGCUGAAGGUUGGUACUUGUACCAACUGGAUGAGCAGCGAACGGGUGAGUAACGCGUGGGGAAUCUGCCUUUGAGCGGGGGACAACAUUUGGAAACGAAUGCUAAUACCGCAUAAAAACUUUAAACACAAGUUUUAAGUUUGAAAGAUGCAAUUGCAUCACUCAAAGAUGAUCCCGCGUUGUAUUAGCUAGUUGGUGAGGUAAAGGCUCACCGAGGCGAUGAUACAUAGCCGACCUGAGAGGGUGAUCGGCCACAUUGGGACUGAGACACGGCCCAAACUCCUACGGGAGGCAGCAGUAGGGAAUCUUCGGCAAUGGACGAAAGUCUGACCGAGCAACGCCGCGUGAGUGAAGAAGGUUUUCGGAUCGUAAAACUCUGUUGGUAGAGAAGAACGUUGGCGAGAGUGGAAAGCUCAUCAAGUGACGGUAACUACCCAGAAAGGGACGGCUAACUACGUG